Molecule: ribosomal RNA, 429 nt
Filed under: Actinomycetes bacterium
Lineage: Bacteria; Bacillati; Actinomycetota; Actinomycetes
Description: Actinobacteria bacterium partial 16S ribosomal RNA
Rfam family: Bacterial small subunit ribosomal RNA
Source: RNAcentral
UAGGGAAUCUUCCGCAAUGGGCGAAAGCCUGACGGAGCAACGCCGCGUGAGUGAUGAAGGUCUUCGGAUCGUAAAACUCUGUUAUUAGGGAAGAACAAAUGUGUAAGUAACUAUGCACGUCUUGACGGUACCUAAUCAGAAAGCCACGGCUAACUACGUGCCAGCAGCCGCGGUAAUACGUAGGUGGCAAGCGUUAUCUGGAAUUAUUGGGCGUAAAGCGCGCGUAGGCGGUUUUUUAAGUCUGAUGUGAAAGCCCACGGCUCAACCGUGGAGGGUCAUUGGAAACUGGAAAACUGGGGUGCAGAAGAAGAAAGUGGAAUUCCAUGUGUAGCGGUGAAAUGCGCAGAGAUAAGGAGGAACACCCGUGGCGAAGGCGACGUUCUGGUCUGUAACUGACGCUGAUGUGCGAAAGCGUGGGGAUCAAACAGG